UAGACCACUCCGCAGCGUAAAUUAUCAACGCCUCAUUUUACAAGGUGCUCCCUCUAAGAAAUACAUUAGUGGUUAUGAAAAACGUAGCUGUGGGAAUUCUGCUCGCAGUACAUAUCAAACUUGUGACAACACAGGUUCAAUGCCCCGUCAGAUACGGCGCGCAAGGUUGCACAAUCUUCGGCAUGACGCUAGGGGCAGGACAAAGUGUCAGUCUUCGGAACCCAUGCGUGCAUGUUGAAUGCAGUGGCAUUAGACCCAGAGUUACAGUGACAGGGUGUCAAGCUGGCGGCGGCGCAAACCAACAUCCUCCCGGGGCGCCAGGUGGACCAGUUGGGAACUGGCCACACUGCUGCUCCAGAUGUCCCUCCUUUGAGGCGAGGAGGAUGAUGACAGUGACGAUGGUGUUCCUUGGAUCAUCGGUACCUACCCACUGUGGGGAAUCGGCCUUGAGUCGGACGGAUCAUGCAGUCAGAAUUUUUCGAAAGUGCUAAUAGAGAUUCGAUAUUGACUUAUCACAAACUGUUAACUGUGGCAUUAACAAUGCAGCCACAGUUUCUCAGGAUAUCAUUUUCGCCUGCAUUAGGCGAGUUCCGAAUAGUCAUAUAAGUGUGCCUAAUAAAGGAUGUAGUGCUU
This is a long non-coding RNA of Rhipicephalus microplus (southern cattle tick), 633 nucleotides long. RefSeq lists it as uncharacterized. NCBI's taxonomy places the organism in Eukaryota, Metazoa, Arthropoda, Arachnida, Ixodida, Ixodidae. The record is from RefSeq and is a predicted model, not a curated record.